GUCCAAAAUAAUUCCUUUAUUCAGUAGUAAAAGUAAAUAUAAAACGUUUCGCUGAUGUGGGAUAAAAACAUACAACCAUAAUAACAAUGCCUACUCCUCUCUUUGCUCUGUCAUUUCUAAAACAUGAAUGACCCUGUAUUGCAAUGCCAUAAGGAAUGUCACUGUAAACAAGGAGCUAAAGACCAAUUAAUAUAUGGAUAUCUAUAGAGAUCUUUGGAUAAAAUACUAUGCUGAACAGUGAUGACUGUACCAUGUGACUAAAACUGGUUUUGAAUGAUAAAAUCAUUUGCAUUAAAAUAGAUAAAAUAUUCAUAGUUCUAUUAUAACCCUCAACACACACCUGGCACCUUCCAAGUGAUAAGUAGUCAAAC
Molecule: non-coding RNA, 371 nt
Organism: Pelobates cultripes (western spadefoot toad)
Lineage: Eukaryota; Metazoa; Chordata; Amphibia; Anura; Pelobatidae
Source: the annotation of a GenBank genome assembly